Platichthys flesus (European flounder) is the source of this 2440-nucleotide long non-coding RNA. RefSeq lists it as uncharacterized. Lineage: Eukaryota; Metazoa; Chordata; Actinopteri; Pleuronectiformes; Pleuronectidae. The transcript has 3 exons. The record is from RefSeq and is a predicted model, not a curated record.
UGGACUGGACGCUUAGAAUAGUUUUACAGAUUUGAGACUGUGAGAGAGUUGGCUAUUGACAAAAACAAUCCCAAAGUCCGAUCAGUCGAUGUCGUCUUUUCGUUUGGAGAUGGGAGUUUUACCAGGUGACAGUUGAAAUUGUAGGCAGUUGAUUUGAGACCAGAGUCAAGAAGGAACGUUCAAUCGUUAUUUUUAAGGCAACAAGGAUCAGAAUUCCUUAAAGUGCUCAAAAGAAACGAAGACGUGAAUAUGUGAAACUACAAGAACAAAGUCUGAUCUACAUCUGCUGAGUGAGAUCCUGUGACGAUUGAAAGCUGUAGAACUGCGACUCAAAACAACUCGUGCAACACAUUGUCAGACACCCCCUAACCCUGUUUCUCCUCCGGACCGGAGCGAGCUUCUCCGAGUGUUUCCGAACCCGCAGAGCUCGGCAGCACUGCGGCUGCGUCACAGCGUCGCCGAACAGCUCAGGUUAACGACAAUAACGACGAAAAACUACCGUAGCCUGCACGCGCUACCGGGCACCGGGAGGAGAAGAUGAACCGGGGACACUGACCGGGGAAGCUCCGGUGUUUACUCUGCGGCUCCCACGGCACAGUCCGGUUAGCUUAGCGGGCUAACGCCGAGAACUCGUAGAUUAGUGCCGCUGCUUCAGAAGCUGCUCUGCGGGGUUCUGGUGCGUGACAGCGGUGCGGGGCCGCCACGAGCGGACUGCUAUGAGCGGGACGCGGCUCGGACUCACCGGUGUCAGCGGCUCUCGGGUCAACGUGUCCGGGCUUUCUGUCCUGUUUCUCCUCGGUGGAUUUCAGAGCUGAGCCACAUCACCAAACGCAUCCCGGAAGCAGAGCUGCCUCUGCGCUGAUUGGACGGCGCUGUCAACUGACAUCGAAGAAGGAAACAUGGUGAAGACAGGACCCGACCUGAGAGUGAAGCUGAUCGUCAACCAUGUCCGCCAGCUGGGCAGGAGCCUGAUGCUGCUCGCCCACUACACCACGGUGUUUGUGGCCUUCAUGGGCCGCAGCGUGCAGUGGAUGGUGGAGGCGGUGAGGUGGACCAGCCUGUUUGCACGAUACACCGUGUCCGCGUUCGAUUCCAUCUACAGACUUGUGCACCGGGGCAAGAGGAGCAGCGUGGCAGCGGGGACCAGAGAGAUCUGCCCGAGCGCCGACACGCAGCCACAGUGUGCAUCAUAACUUCAUAUCUGCAAACCGACAACCUCCAGCGGAGACUGGGUCCACGUUUGGAAAUCAAUGGGGGAAAAAACGCACGAUGAAAAAGAAAAAUGAGGCCUUACUGAAGUGUGAAACUUUUUACUUUUUUUAAGCGCUUAUAACAUAACUAUUUGUAACAGUCUUACUAGUCUUAUACAUUUUUAUAUUUGUGUUAUCGUCAGCUAAAGCUCUUUCAAAUGUUGGAAAACAUUUCAAGCUCUUUGUUAAAUGAAGUCAUUCAUCCCUCGUACCCGUUGACAUGACAGGGUAACCCGAACCAGAUUAAGUAAAACACUACGGAAGCAUAAUUUAUACCAUUUCACAUUUAUCACACUAGAUUCAACACUACAUGAACUCAGUAAAGUACAAACCACUAUCGAGUGGCGACACUCCUCAUGAAACCACAUUCAAAGCCACUAAAUCCAGUUUGUUUAUUUGUACAGCCCUAAAGAUGUCUGAUAUUUUCAACCAGAUCCAUAAAUUAUUCUCUGAGAAAUCAAAGAAAAUUCAAAAACCCAGUAUCUCUAAAUGUUAGAGAAUGUGAGAAAAUAUAUCAUUCCUGGAUUUGCCCCCUUAACCAGAUUGAGACCAGAAUGUAUCAGGUUCUUCCCUGACCCAUAUCACAUCUUUCCUCAAAGUUUUGUGGAAAUCUGUCCAAUACUUUUUGUGCCAUCUUGUUCACAAACAAUCAGACAGGGGUGAAAACAGCCAAAUGUAUUUUUCAACCUGUGCCUGUGAUAUUCAUACAUGAUUUAAUAUGAAUAUGUUGAUUUUUGGGCAUUCUUUUAUUCUGACAUGACUGAAGAGACGCAUGCUGCUUUAUCUGUGAUUGACAUUAAUUCAAAUGUUUUCCGACAUCAGUGUGAGAAAAGGCAUGUUGCUUUAAAGUGACCUGCAGCUGCAUUUACUAAUGUAAAGUUUUUCAUUUUUACUUUUGUAUUGAUCAUAGUAUUUUAAAUGUAAGAGCAUUCAGAAUGCAACGUAAGCACUGACAUGAAUAUUCUGGUAUUACUUCACUAUUUCAGAUGCUGAAAUCAACAAACACAAAUUCAAGCAUAUGUCAAGAUUGUUAUACCAAAGGAAUCCUGUGCAAGAAGUGAGACUUAAGGGAAUUCUGCAUUGUUCUGUAUAUGUUUAAAAAAUGCAAGCUUUACUGUUUGUUCAGUUAUUGUACUAAUCAGCCAUAACUGGUUUCAUACUCUAAUAUCAGAAUAAAUUUCUCUACCAAA